RNAcentral lists this ribosomal RNA (516 nucleotides) under uncultured bacterium. Its description in RNAcentral is "bacterial SSU rRNA". It matches the Rfam family "Bacterial small subunit ribosomal RNA", at positions 15 to 518 of the family's 1533-position model. The record is from RNAcentral.
GAUCCUGGCUCAGGAUGAACGCUAGCUACAGGCUUAACACAUGCAAGUCGAGGGGCAGCAUGGUCUUAGCUUGCUAAGGCUGAUGGCGACCGGCGCACGGGUGAGUAACGCGUAUCCAACCUUCCCCUUAGUAGGGCAUAGCCCGGCGAAAGUCGGAUUAACACCCUAUGUUUUCCGUUGCGGGCAUCUAAUAUGGAACAAAGAUUUAUCGCUAAGGGAUGGGGAUGCGUCUGAUUAGGUAGUAGGCGGGGUAACGGCCCACCUAGCCCUCGAUCAGUAGGGGUUCUGAGAGGAAGGUCCCCCACCAUUGGAACUGAGACACGGUCCAAACUCCUACGGGAGGCAGCAGUGAGGAAUAUUGGUCAAUGGCCGAGAGGCUGAACCAGCCAAGUAGCGUGCCAGGACGACGGCCCUAUGGGUUGUAAACUGCUUUUAUGCGGGGAUAAAGUCGCCCACGUGUGGGCGUUUGCAGGUACCGCAUGAAUAAGGACCGGCUAAUUCCGUGCCAGCAGCGGC